UUUUUUUUUUUUUUUGUCUUUUGUCUUUUUAGGGCUGCACCGGCAGUAUAGGGAGGUUCCCAGGUUGGGGGUCUAAUUGGAACUACAGGCACUGGCCUACGCCAGAGCCACAGCAAUGUGAGAUCCGAGCUGCGUCUGUGACCUAUACCACAGCUCACGAUAAUGCCAGAUCCUUAACCCACUGAGCAAGGCCAGGGAUCGAACCUGAAACCUCAAGGUUCCUAUGUUUCCGCUGCACCACGAUGGGAACUCCUCUUUUUUUCUUCUUUUAGAUAUGAAAAUAAAUAUUUAUUUAGAAUGAGAAAUCACAGGUUAUGAAUUUUAUUUAUUUAUUUAUUUAUUUAUUUAUUUAGCUGCACCUGCAGCGUAUGAAAGUUUCUGGGUCAAGGAUCAUAAUCAGAGCCACAGCUGUACCCUAGGCCACAACUGUGGCAAUGCCGGAGCCUUAACCCACUGUGCCACAGCAGGAACUCCAUAACGGGGAGUUCCUGCUGUGGCACAGCAGAACCAAAUCCGACUAGGACCCAUGAGGUUGCGAUCUCUAGCCUUGCUCAGUGGGUUAAGGGUCCAGGGUUGCUGUGAGCCGUGGUGUAGUUUGCAGAAGCGGAUCCCGAGUUGCUGUGGCUGUGGCCUAGGGCAGCAGCUAUGCCUCCAAUUAAACCCCCAGCCUGGAACCUCCACAUGCUGUGGGUGUGGCCCUAAAAAGACAAACAAACAAACAAACAAAUAAAUAAAAUGCGUAACAAAAUCCCAAAUUCUCACCAAGUCCUGAAAAAUAACAUUAUUUUUUUAUUAAAUAACUUCCUGAUGCACUUACAUCAUUGCUACAUUUGGGGUUGCAUUCUCUUUGCCUCUUCAAAUGACAAUAAAUCAUCAAUUUCAGUCCUAGAGACAGGAUCGGGUGUAGUCACUGUUAGAAAUGCCUACAGAUGCCCGAGGGCCCCGGCGCUGCAAAAUCCCAUCAUCCACAGUCAUAUUAGGGAACUCCUUUCGGAGGCAGUCUCUCCCUCUGCUACCACUGGGAGAUAGAAGAAAGUCAGCACAAAGUUUUACAAAUACACCAGUGCUCCCAGCAAUGUGUUAAUGCCUUGGAGAAGGAAGUGUCCUUUAAGCUAACCAAGGUGAUGGGGUUUGGAAGUAGAUGACUGGUUCUGCGUGAUAAAUCUACUCUAAGCUUAUCAUCCUCUGAUCUUCCCAACUUCCCUAUACCAGCGUUUCUCAACUUGGCACUACUGGUAUUUUGGACCAAAUAAUAAUUCUUUGUUGUGAGGGGCUGUCACGUGCCACGUGGGAUGUUUAACAUCAUCCCCGGCCUCUACUCACUAGAGUCCAGACGUUCCUCCCUCCAAGUGAUGACAAUGAAGAAAUGUCUCCAGACACUGACAAUUUUCCAAUGGAAAAGGAGGGGGGCAUAAUUUUUCCCAGCUAAAUAAUAUUGCUCUAUGCUACUGAAGGAAAUUGCGGUUGAGUCCAGAUUUCAGACAAAGAAAACAGACUGCGCUGUUAAAAACAUCUGGCUAUUUAACACUGAAUUCACAGUUUUGAGUAAAUAUAGGUAUUUCAAAAAUCUGACUUGAUACAAUGUUAUCUGUUCUUGCCUCAUCUGGAAGCUUUGGAGUUCAUUCCUACCAUACUCCUCAGAUGUCUCUUGAUAAAGCCUGGCAGAAGCUUUUAAUUAUUUCAGCUUGUAACUGAUCUCCUCUUGGUUUAGACUUGCACUCAAGGUCUUAGAUUUGCUGGUAUCUGACUCUAGUUAUGGGGUCCAGAGGCAUGCAGCCUGCCAAAGGCAGGUCUUGAAAAAUAUCAGCACCCUUUGCAAGGUAACUGCCUCUGGUGAUGGGGACGAGAUAUUUUCUUCACACUAAAUAGCCCCAUCGCCUCACAUUUUUCAUACUUCUUGCAGUUUCAGGGGGCCAUGUGUCUAGUUCGUGUAAACAUGCUGUGAACAGAAAUAAUAUGUGUCACUUUUAGGCUGAGGGAUUUGAGAACUGGUUUGGGACGCUCCCUUUCUUUCUUCCUCAGCAACAGCUACAUGUCCUCCAUCAGUUCGCCUGCAAGAUGGAUGCUCUUAAGCCAAUCUGGGUCCACGAGCAUCUGCAUGGAACAAAGUCCCCGACUAUCUUCACUGAGCAUGUAGCACAGAAGAGAAAUACACUCUUGUUAUGUUAAGUCACCGAGGUUUUGUGGUUGUUGCUACUGCUUCAUAGCCCACCCUGUUCUUGUUAAUCAAGUGGAGUCAUUAGGGAGUUUUCAAUUAUGGGCAUGGUGUAGCCUAAUCAUAUAGGGAAAGUGCCAGCUUCUGCUGUCAGAGGAGGUUUAGUAGGCAGUUCCUUCCUGGAAACUGAAGUUGAUAAUUUAAGCAAAUGCUUUGCCACUUGUGUGCCAGGGACGAUCAAUGCUCACGUUUCUGCUGCCAAUGAAGUCAUUAUUGCCUUCAGAUCUAACCGGGUUAGAUAAACAAUCCCAGGUGAUUCCAAUUAAUGCUCUUCUUCCUGGAAUCCUUUCAAAUACCAAAUACUUUUGAUCAGGAAAUAUAAGCCUCAUUUGAGGGACCCUGCUGGCAAAGAAUUCUGAGGAAAAAUCACUCACAGUUUUCUGGAAUCUUUAGAUCAGAGAUGGUAUUGACUUGCAAAAAGAAAAUCCAGCACUUGAUGGGUAUUUCUCUGUAAUUUCUAUGCUAAACUUAUGCUGAGUACCUGUUGUCUAUUUUUCUGUAUCUACUAAUGGGAGAACCACUCUGGAAAUCUUAUUAGCUGUGAGUAAAUUUCAGCUAUUAAAUGCUUGCUGUGCAUGAUGAAAAUGAUUGAUAAGGAAAACAGCUUACACCUAGGGGUAUAGCUAUCUUAUACCAGGUACUUCUCCAGGAUAAUGAACUUGCCUUAUUCAACUCUGAGUUUAUAGUACAGUGAAGAGUGCCUGGAAUAUAAUGUGUUCAGUAAAAUUUAUUAAAUGACUUAGUCAGUGUGCAUUUCAGCAUCUUAAAAAUGUAUAUCGAGAGACUACUAUGGGCCUGCUCUGGGCUAUAAUUUAAGGAACAAGGAUAACCCCUAGAAACUUACAGAAAGGAAGUAAGUGUGUGGGGGGAAUUUAUAAGUGCAAAUUCUGAAUGCAUGUGUACAAGGAGUUAUACAAACACAGAAGAAUCCCAAACAAUGGUAUCUUAUUAGUGUCUCAAAAUAUUGGCAUGGAUUUGGGGGAUGAAGUGGGAUGGGAAGGGAGGGUAUUGUUCCAGGAAAAUGAAACAGCGUGAUGCUCUAGAAACUGCCUGCAUUCAGAACUAUUGGAGGAUAAUGUGGGAAGUUGAAAAUGGCAAGAAGCCAAGCCACUGAAGCUUGCGUAGAUGUUUCUGACAUGAUUAUAGCUCAGUGUACUGGUCCAUGCUUCCCAGCUGUUUUUAACUGUACGGCUCCCUUUUUACCACAUGAUACAAUCCAACCUAGAAUACCAAUUACAUAAACAAGUAGAAGUAAAAUUAUAUAUAUUUUUUCCUUUUACAGCAGCACCUAUGGCAUAUGGAAGUUCCCAGGCUAGGGGUCGAAUUGGAGCUUCAGGGGCACGACUAUGCCACAGCCACAGCAACAUGGGAUUCAACCUGCAUGUGUGACUUAUGCCGCAGCUUGCGGCAAUGCCAUAUCCUUCACCUACUAAGCAAGGCCAGGGAUCAAACCCACAUCCUGAGGAGCACUAUGGUGGGUUCUUAACCCACUGACUGAACCACAAUGGGAACUCCCUGUUAUUAGUAUAUUUUCAGUUUCAACCUUUAUGUAAUACAAAAAUGACAUAACUCUUUAAUAUAUACAUUAAUUAAUAUUACAUCAAUAUUAAUGUAAUAACAUUAAUGUAAUUAACGUAAUUAAUAUUACAUUAAUAUAAUAAUGCAUAUUUUCAUCAAAUAUAAACUUUGAUACAAGAAAUCAUUUAUAAAGUAUUUGAUUAUGCAUUCUUAUGACAGUUUAAAACAUUUUCAUUUAUGAAUAUGUGAAUGUGUGUAUUCAAUUCAACCGUUUGAAAAUUCACUUCUUUGAAAUAAUGGUUUGAAAAAUUCUACUCUAGAUGCUACACAGUCAUUUGAGAGUUCUUUGGAAACAAAAAAGACCAAGUUGAUCAGUUGUCAUUUCAGGUAGAAUACAUCCAGUGUGGAGGGCGACUGGAGAUACGAGGCACUGAGUCUGGUAGAAAGACAUGAUGCUCAUUAAAUGUCCAUGUACGCCCCUCGUUUCCUGGCUUCCCUUUUACUUAGGUUAGGAUCUUUGACUGUACCUAGUUCUGGCCAACUCUAAAUCAUUUCGUGGCUCCAUUCUAUGUUUUUCUUUUCUUCCCCUCUGGGUACCACUGUUGGGGCACUGUUCCUUCAGGUUGGAAGCAGCUUGAAUUGCUGUCCUGAUACAAAGGAUGGCUGCAACAGAGAAUCAACUCUCUCCCAAUGGACUUCCUAUGUGAGCGAAAUGAAUCUGUAAUCUGGUAUGCCACUCAGAUUUCAGACUUGGUUUCUUACCCAGCGUAGUCUGGAACCAGCUGACUCAGAGAGUCUAGUCAAAAGAUAAUGAGGGAUGCAGAGUUCCUGUCGUGGCUCAGUGGUUAGUGAACCUGGCUAGCAUCCAUGAGGAUGUGGGUUUGAUCCCUGGGCCUGCUCAGUGGGUUAAGGGUAUGGCAUUGCCGUAAGCUGUGGUGUAGGUUGCAGACGAGGCUCGGAUCCCAUGUUGCUGUGGUGGUGGUGUAGGCCAGCGGCUACAGCUCUGAUUGGACCCCUAGCCUGGGAACCCCCAAAUUCUGUGGGUGCAGACCUAAAAAAGACAAAUCACCAAAAACAAACAAACAAAAAAGAUAAUGAGGGAUGCAAAGCAGUGAUGAAAUAGAGAGGAGAAAUUAGGAAAAAAAUUGUAGAAUUGGCAGCUGUUGUAACUGAUUUAAUUCUGGAAUUUGGAGAAGUCUGGCAACCAAUGACUCUAGAUGUUUGGCUUGAACAAACUGCAUGUGAGCUGAGAUAGUCAUAAUCAAAAUACAGAAGUAGAACAUGGCACCAGAUGAGAUUAUUAAAUGUCCAUGUAAGCACUGGUGAAAGUACUUUUCGUAGCUCCAGCUGCAUAACUCAAUAAAUAAUUUUUUUACAAUUCAUAUCAUUCUAUGUGCCAUAUAAAACAUUUAGCAAAGGAUUCAUUUUCAUACACCUUUUAAAAAUUAUUAUAAAACUAAUAAUUGUUCUUCUUUGAAAAUGGGAGCAUAUGGAAAAACAGGGGAAAAGUCACUUAUAAUACCAACACUGUCAAUCAAGUUUCUGGAUCUUUAAACAAGCUCAAGAAUUUCACCCACCAAGCACUCAGUAGCUGCUUAAGGGUGGCCCAGACAAACUUUGCAUUGUGGUUCGGCAAGCAUUCUGGACCCUACUUGCUUGUUUGUGAUCCGCUUGCUCUCAUUAUGUUUCACAAAAUCAGGAGCUGGAGAAUGGGCCCAUUCAAAACAAGAAAUGGGCCAGUUGGGGAGGACACCUUGGUCUAAUCAGUGUUCGUGGGACCAGGGACUCCAGCUUGGGCCAAGCCUGCAAGGCCUGCUCACUGCCUGGGGAGGUAUGUAUAAUCAGGGAGAGCCCCUAUUUUUGUUUUUGUUUUAAUUCUUCUUAGUACUGAUGUUAUGAACACUUCUGUAUCUAGGGCUUUGUUGUAGUUAAGAUGUUUUUUGGGAGGUGGGGAGAAAUGCCUAGUGGAAUUCAUUCAGAAUAAAGGCUGCUGAAUAAAUUUUGCAGAUUCUUUCCAGAAGUGAUCUGAUCAUUGCUAUGCCAAAGUCAGUGAUUAGACUCCCCUCUUCAUAUCACAAGGAGUCCAAUAAAAGCAAAAAUUGACCUCACAUAUCAUACUCCCGUAAUGCAAAUCGAUCCAUGUUGCCCGUGCUAAAAGGAACUUCACUAGUCUAGGGUGAUGUCUUCUGACACGGGGACUAUGUCCUUCUCCAUCCCUCUUCUUGACAGUAGAUUGGAUGUUGUAAGUAAAAUAAUACCACUGGUAGGAAGCUCAUUUCACAGCAGGGCUCAAGGCCAACCUACACGCUUGUGAUGCCAUUUCUAGUGGCCCUCUGUUCAUAUACUUACUUCUUUCUCGCUUCUCUUCAACCGACUAGGGGUUCGUACUAGAUUUUUGAAAAAUAUUUUGUCACUAGAGGGAAAGAUAAAUUUUUAAUGUGUAAAAAUAAAGUAGUAACAUGAACCUUUAAUCACUUUUUCAUUCAUUCAUUACAACCACAACAUGUUAACAAAGGAAGGGGCUCAUCAUGAUCAUGUUUGGUGAUUUUUAUUGAAGAAAUAACUACAUUACUUAAUCUUUUAGUCACACAUAUGGCCUGGCAAUGAUACCUGGUUGAAUCCCAUUUUACAUUAAUUCAUACAUUAGUUUUUGAUAAAGAUUACUAAGACUUAAUUUUCUUAAAUGAGGGUAGAGAUGAUUUUUUUCUGCUUUACAAGAGGUAAUUGGGACAACUGGUAAAAUUUAAAUAAGGUCUGAAAAUUCAAUAAUAGUAUUGAAUAAUAGGCUAAUAUUCUAAUUUUGGAAAUUAUACUAGUUAUAUAAGGGGUAAGGGGAUAUCAUGACUGCACCUUAUGACUACAUGGUUCAGAAAAGGGUAAUUUGUAUAUAUGUGCAUCUAUAUCAUAUAUAUGUGUAUGUAUAUCUUUAUCUCUCUGUCUUUCUACAGAGAGAGAGGUGAAGCACAUAUGGCAAAAUGUUAACAGCUGGGGAUCUGGGUGAAAGAUAGACAGGAGUUUUUUAUACUAUUCUUGCAACUUUUCUGUAAAUCUGAAAUUAUUUUAAACUGAAAAUUACAAAAGCAAAUAAUAAAUGGAUCAGAAAAAUCUCUCCCACACUACAGGUUAGGGGUCGAAUAGGAGCUACAUCUGCCGGCCUACGCCACAGCCACAACAACGCUGGAUCCAAGUGGUGUCUACGACCUACAUCACAGGUCAUGGCAGUGCCGGAUCCCCAGAUCCUUAACCCAUUGAGUGAGGCCAGGGAUCAAGCCCACAUCCUCAUGGAUCCUAGUAGGGUUCCUUAGGCUACAGUAUUGAGUUGGUACUGAGCCACGAAGGGAACUCCGUCCUCUACCCAUUUUUUUUUUCUUUUUUUGUAAUUUUAAUGGUAGUGUUUCUUUAAUAAUCUUAAUAGAAAGGACAGAUGAUCGUUUGCGGAUCAGGGGUUUUAUUUAUAAAUUAUGUGGUAUCAUGGUUACAGGAGCAUCAGUAAAAAUCUUUUAAAUGGGAUGUGGCAAAGAUAAGCUAAAAUUAAUUGUCCUUUCAUUUAGAAUCAGUGCUCUGCAAACUAAUUAUGCAUUCAAAAUUAUUUGAAUGCAUAUCAUAAUGAAUAUUACUAUGAAUCUGAAUGCAAAUCAUUGUUCAACUCAGUAUAAUGAUGAUAUUCAUUGAAAGUCUGAAGAUCCCAAGAUGUUAAUUUUCUUAUUAAUUUGCACGUGCAAUUUAUAUCAAACAUAUAUAUUAAUAGUCGUGUUUAUGUAGGCUUCAUUGAGUUUGAUGAAAUGAGAAAU
Molecule: long non-coding RNA, 7524 nt
Filed under: Sus scrofa (pig)
Lineage: Eukaryota; Metazoa; Chordata; Mammalia; Artiodactyla; Suidae
Description: lncRNA (ENSSSCG00045019492.1)
Source: RNAcentral